ACGGCCGCAAGGUUAAACUCAAAUGAAUUGACGGGGGCCCGCACAAGCGGUGGAGCAUGUGGUUUAAUUCGAAGCAACGCGAAGAACCUUACCUACUCUUGAAAUCCAGUGAACUUGGCAGAGAUGCCUUGGUGCCUUCGGGAACACUGAGACAGGUGCUGCAUGGCUGUCGUCAGCUCGUGUUGUGAAAUGUUGGGUUAAGUCCCGUAACGAGCGCAACCCUUAUCCUUAUUUGCCAGCGAGUGAUGUCAGGGACUAUAAGGAGACUGCCGGUGACAAACCGGAGGAAGGCGGGGACGACGUCAAGUCAUCAUGGCCCUUACGAGUAGGGCUACACACGUGCUACAAUGGCCGGUACAGACGGUUGCGAAGCCGCGAGGUGAAGCUAAUCUGAAAAAGCCGGUCGUAGUCCGGAUUGGAGUCUGCAACUCGACUCCAUGAAGUCGGAAUCGCUAGUAAUCGUGAAUCAGAAUGUCACGGUGAAUACGUUCCCGGGCCUUGUACACACCGCCCGUCACACCAUGGGAGUUGAUUGCACCAGAAGUGGGUAGCUUAAAAUUGGGCGCUCACCACGGUGUGGUUAAUGACUGGGGUGAAGUCGUAACAAGGU
Molecule: ribosomal RNA, 610 nt
Filed under: uncultured bacterium
Lineage: Bacteria
Description: bacterial SSU rRNA
Rfam family: Bacterial small subunit ribosomal RNA
Source: RNAcentral